Molecule: ribosomal RNA, 112 nt
Filed under: marine eukaryotic metagenome
Source: RNAcentral
CGGUGACCAUAGCGGAGGGGAAACACUGGUUUCCAUUCCGAACACACAGGUUAAGCCCUCCAGCGCCGAUGGUACUUGGGUGGAGACACCCUGGGAGAGUAGGUCGUUGCCG